AGCUCCAAUAGCGUAUAUUAAAGUUGCUGCAGUUAAAAAGCUCGUAGUUGCAUUUCCGAGGCAAGGGAUUAGUCCGACCUUUGGUGGGUAUUUAAUCCUCUUGCCUCGUCCUUGAGUGGUGCUUCUUGGUAUUAAGUUAUCGAGGAGAUAGCCGCUCAUCGUUUACUGUGAGAAAAUUAGAGUGUUCAAAGCAGGCUUAUGCCGUUGAAUAUAUUAGCAUGGAAUAAUAAGAUAGGACCUCGGUACUAUUUUGUUGGUUUGAGAACCAAGGUAAUGAUGAAUAGGGACAGUUGGGGGUAUUCGUAUUCAGUUGUCAGAGGUGAAAUUCUUGGAUUUGUUAAAGACGAACUACUGCGAAAGCAUUUGCCAAGGAUGUUUUCA
RNAcentral lists this ribosomal RNA (381 nucleotides) under uncultured marine Chaetocerotaceae. RNAcentral's name for it is "SSU rRNA". It matches the Rfam family "Eukaryotic small subunit ribosomal RNA", at positions 587 to 972 of the family's 1831-position model. Lineage: Eukaryota; Bacillariophyta; Thalassiosirophyceae; Chaetocerotales; Chaetocerotaceae. The record is from RNAcentral.